GGAUUGUGGUUCAGUGGUAGAGUGCUUGCCUAGCAUGCACGAGGCCCUGGGUUCGAACCUCAGCACCA
This 68-nucleotide transfer RNA is filed under the name Marmota monax (woodchuck). Its description in RNAcentral is "tRNA.Ala". The stretch from base 5 to 65 matches the Rfam family "tRNA", at positions 6 to 65 of the family's 71-position model. Rfam says of the family: Transfer RNA (tRNA) molecules are approximately 80 nucleotides in length. Their secondary structure includes four short double-helical elements and three loops (D, anti-codon, and T loops). The record is from RNAcentral. Lineage: Eukaryota; Metazoa; Chordata; Mammalia; Rodentia; Sciuridae.